CACGUAGGGCGCGAGCGUUGUCCGGAAUUAUUGGGCGUAAAGGGUGCGUAGGCGGUUUGGUAAGUCUUAUGUGAAAUCUACAGGCUCAACUUGUAGUCUGCAUGAGAAACUGCCGGGCUUGAGUAUGGGAGAGGUGAGUGGAAUUCCUGGUGUAGCGGUGAAAUGCGUAGAUAUCAGGAGGAACACCUGUGGCGAAAGCGGCUCACUGGACCAUAACUGACGCUGAUGCACGAAAGCUAGGGGAGCAAACAGG
This 253-nucleotide ribosomal RNA is filed under the name uncultured bacterium. RNAcentral's name for it is "partial 16S ribosomal RNA". It matches the Rfam family "Bacterial small subunit ribosomal RNA", at positions 524 to 776 of the family's 1533-position model. The record is from RNAcentral.